RNAcentral lists this ribosomal RNA (485 nucleotides) under uncultured bacterium. RNAcentral's name for it is "partial 16S ribosomal RNA". It matches the Rfam family "Bacterial small subunit ribosomal RNA", at positions 28 to 507 of the family's 1533-position model. The record is from RNAcentral.
GAUGAACGCUGGCGGCGUGCUUAACACAUGCAAGUCGAACGGGAUCCAAGGGGUGCUUGCACUUUUUGGUGAGAGUGGCGAACGGGUGAGUAACACGUGAGUAACCUGUCCUUUUCUUUGGGAUAAGCAUUCGAAAGGGUGUUUAAUACCUUAUGUUCUGUCUGCCUCGCAUGGGGUGGGUGGGAAAGGCUUUGGCCGGAUUUGGGUGGGCUCGCGGUCUAUCAGCUUGUUGGUGGGGUGAUGGCUUACCAAGGCUUUGACGGGUAGCCGGCCUGAGAGGGUGGUCGGUCACAUUGGGACUGAGAUACGGCCCAGACUCCUGCGGGAGGCAGCGGUGGGGGAUAUUGCACAAUGGGCGAAAGCCUGAUGCAGCGACGCCGCGUGGGGGAUGAAGGCCUUCGGGUUGUAAACUUCUUUUGCUCUGAACAAGGCAUGCCAGUGGGUGUGUUGAGUGUAGGGGUUGAUUAGCGCCGGCUAACUACGUG